This 1344-nucleotide ribosomal RNA is filed under the name Alteromonadales bacterium. RNAcentral's name for it is "bacterial SSU rRNA". It matches the Rfam family "Bacterial small subunit ribosomal RNA", at positions 83 to 1444 of the family's 1533-position model. Lineage: Bacteria; Pseudomonadati; Pseudomonadota; Gammaproteobacteria; Alteromonadales. The record is from RNAcentral.
GUACUUUUGAGAGCGGCGGAGGGUGAGUACGCGUGGGAUCUACCUGGUAGUGGGGGAAACUUGGGGAAACUCAAGCUAAUACCGCAUACGCCCUACGGGGAAGGAGGGGUCUUCGGACCUUUCGCUAUCAGAUGAGCCUGCGUAGGAUUAGCUAGUUGGUAGGGUAAAGGCCUACCAAGGCGACGAUCCUUAGCUGGUCUGAGAGGAUGAUCAGCCACACUGGGACUGAGACACGGCCCAGACUCCUACGGGAGGCAGCGGUGGGGAAUAUUGGACAAUGGGGGCAACCCUGAUCCAGCCAUGCCGCGUGUGUGAAGAAGGCCUUCGGGUUGUAAAGCACUUUCAGUGGUGAGGAAGGGUGAAAGUUAAUACCUAUAUACAUUGACGUUAGCCACAGAAGAGCACCGGCUAACUCCGUGCCAGCGCCGCGUAAUACGGAGGGUGCAAGCUUAAUCGGAUUACUGGGCGUAAAGCGCGCGUGGUGGUUCAGUCAGUCAGAUGUAAAGCCCCGGGCUUAACCUGGGAUUGCACCUAUACUGCUGAGCUAGAGUACAGUAGAGGGGAGUGGAUUUCCUGUGUGCGUGAAUGCGUAGAUAUAGGAAGGAACACAGUGGCGAGGCGACCUCUCUGGACUGAUACUGACACUUAGGUGCGACAGCGUGGGGAGCAACAGGAUUAGAUACCCUGGUAGUCCACGCUGUAAACGAUGUCAACUAGCCGUUGGGACACCUUGAUGUCUUAGUGGCGCAGCUAACGCGAUAAGUUGACCGCCUGGGGGAGUACGGUCGCAAGAUUAAAACUCAAAUGAAUUGACGGGGGCCCGCACAAGCGGUGGAGCAUGUGGUUUAAUUCGACGCAACGCGAAGAACCUUACCUACUCUUGACAUCCAGAGAACUUUCCAAAGAUGGAUUGGGGCCUUCGGGAACUCUGAAACAGGUGCUGCAUGGCUGUCGUCAGCUCGUGUUGUGAAGUGUUGGGUUAAGUCCCGUAACGAGCGCAACCCUUGUCCUUACUUGCCAGCGGGUAAUGCCGGGAACUUUAAGGAGACUGCCGGUGACAAACCGGAGGAAGGUGGGGACGACGUCAAGUCAUCAUGGCCCUUACGAGUAGGGCUACACACGUGCUACAAUGGCCGGUACAGAGGGCCGCGAUACCGCGAGGUGGAGCAAAUCUCAGAAAACCGGUCGUAGUCCGGAUCGCAGUCUGCAACUCGACUGCGUGAAGUCGGAAUCGCUAGUAAUCGCGAAUCAGAAUGUCGCGGUGAAUACGUUCCCGGGCCUUGUACACACCGCCCGUCACACCAUGGGAGUGGGUUGCACCAGAAGUAGCUAGUCUAACUUCGA